GACGAACCCGUGCGAACGUUAUUCGGAAUCACUGGGCUUAAAGCGCGUGUAGGCGGAUGCUUAAGUGCCUUGUGAAAUCCCACGGCUUAACCGUGGAACUGCUGGGCAUACUGGGUGUCUUGAGGUGCCUAGGGGUCGCUGGAACAAACGGUGGAGCGGUGAAAUGCGUAGAUAUCGUUUGGAACGCCAAAGGUGAAAACAGGCGACUGGAGGCAAACUGACGCUGAGACGCGAAAGCCAGGGGAGCAAAC
Molecule: ribosomal RNA, 251 nt
Filed under: uncultured bacterium
Lineage: Bacteria
Description: partial 16S ribosomal RNA
Rfam family: Bacterial small subunit ribosomal RNA
Source: RNAcentral